UUUGACGGUGACGGUGCAAAGCGUUCAUUAAAAUUAUUGAAUUUUGCAUCGAUCGUAUUCUUCCUGAAAUUUAACCCUAACAAUAUUAUCAUUGCAGCUCAAGUGUUGUAAAGCUCCCCAAAAUGUUGUCCUAGCCUUAAUUCCCAUAAGGAAAGCGCCAUUACCAGCAGACCCGAAACGAAAACAACAUUAUAAUGUGCUAGAUUGUCAAAGUUUUAAUAUGUUCACUUGUACCUAUUAGGGUAUUCGUUUUAAUGAAAAGUAUGCUUAGAGAAAGAACGUUAGUCUACCAAUCAUUAAUAAUAAAAGUCUUAAAACUUUGGAAACCAG
This is a long non-coding RNA of Dendroctonus ponderosae (mountain pine beetle), 330 nucleotides long. RefSeq lists it as uncharacterized. The transcript is spliced from 2 exons. Lineage: Eukaryota; Metazoa; Arthropoda; Insecta; Coleoptera; Curculionidae. The record is from RefSeq and is a predicted model, not a curated record.